Non-coding RNA from Podarcis lilfordi (Lilford's wall lizard), 4375 nucleotides. The record is from the annotation of a GenBank genome assembly. Lineage: Eukaryota; Metazoa; Chordata; Lepidosauria; Squamata; Lacertidae.
CCCAAAUUCACAACGCGCACACACACACUCCAAACUCUCAUUAAGCCAGUGGUGGAAUACAUAUCUUCAUCACAUAAAGAAUGACUAAACAGUAAGCUUAUAUGGACCUGGAGAAGCAUCUACACGCAGGCCAGUACCAGUAAGGGUCUCUCUCUCCCACUCUCCAUAAUGAAUUGGGCAUAAAAGCCAUCCAGGCACUUCAGCCAAUCAUUUGGUGGUGGUGGGAAGGCAAACGUUAGUGCUCAUCUCUUAAACAAACUAUUCAAGGUUCAAUGCAGGGCAGAGCAUAAUAUUUUUGUAACUGAAGUAAUGGGGACAACACUACCAGCCUUGCUCUGCUGUACCUCAAAGUGCAUGAAAAUAUUGCGCAAAAAAACUGUGUUAUGUCAUAUUCUGGGCUUCUGCUUUGACUUACAAUGACUCUGGGGAGGCAACGCCAAGUCUUGAACACAAGCCAGUUGUGGGGACGUGCUGCUUUGGGAGCAAGCCAAAGGCUGGGCUGUGUUUGUGUAUUUGUAAACAUGACUGAGGUCUUCACACCAGAAUUAUUAUUUUUUCAAGAUGCUUAGAACUUACAAUACGAGUUCAAUUUUCAGUCUGUCCGACUGGUACUUUCUACCUCCAUUUUCUCCUCUGUUUCUUAAAGAGAAGAUAAAUUUAAUCCUAUUUAUAUUUUAAUGGCAUCUCUCUCUGUGUGUAGUUAAUAGCAUUUAAAGUGUGUGUGUAUAUAGUUAUGCCACUAAUUUUAUAGUGUAAGUCACUUUUUGUUUAUUUUUCGUUAAAAAGUAAAAUAGCUUCAAGAAGUACAAAGCAAACCCUAGCUUACCACAGAUUUGUGUGGAGGAUAUUGUUACUUUCACAUUCUUUACUGGGUGGACAUGGCUUGUUGAAAACAACCGAUAGAUGUAAAUAACAUAAUGUAACAUAAAACAAUAAGUUCCUUUCUAGGGUAUGAGAGCUUGGGAAUACUGCUGUGGCAAUGUGUUAUUCUCAUUAGAUGAAAUAAGCAGUAUUAAACUGCAGCACAGUGAAUGAUCCUUUUAAGAAUUUAAUUCUAAGUAGGUUUCAUAGAAUCAUAGAAUCAUAGAGUUGGGAGGGAACUUGAGGGUCAUCUAGUCCAACCCCUUGCAAUGCAGGAAUCUCCGCUAAAGCAUCCAUGACAGAUGGCCAUCCAACCUCUGCUUAAAAACCUCCAAGGAAGGAGAGUCCACCACCUUUCGUGGGCAUUUGUUCCACUGCUGAACAGCUCUUAUUGUCAGAAAGCUUUUUCCGAAUGUUUAGUUAGAAUCUCCUUUCUUGAAGCCAUUGGUUUGAGUCCUACCCUCCAAAGUAGGAGAAAAAAAAGCAUGUUCCCUCUUCCAUGUGACAGGCCUUAAGAUAUUUGAAGAUGGCUAUCAUAUCUUCUCUCAGUUUCCUCUUUUCCAGGCUAAAAUUACCCUGCUCCUUCAAGUGCUCCUCAUAAGGCUUAGUUUCCAGACACUUAAUCAUCUUGGUUGCCCUCCGCUGCAGACGUUCUAGCUUGUCAAUAUCCUUUUUAAAUUGUGGCUCCAAUAACUGGAAACAAUAUUCCAGGUGUGGUCUGAACAAAGUAGAAUAGAGUGGUACUAUUACUUCCCUUGAUCUGGACACUAUACUUCUGUUGAUGCAGGCUAGAAUAGCAUUAGCUUUUUUUGCUGCUGCAUCACACUGUUGACUCGUGUUAAGCUUGUGGUCCACCAAGACCCCUGGAUGCUUUUCACAUGUACUGCUAGUAAGCCAGGUGUCCCCCAUCCUAUAUUUGUGCAUCUGGUACUUCCUGCCUAAGUGCAGAACCUUACAUUUGUCCCUAUUGAAAUUCAUUUUGUUAGCCUGUGCCCAGUUUUCCAAUCUGUUAAGGUCAUUUUGAAUUCUGAUUCUGUCUUCUGCGGCAUUAGCUACCCCUCCCAGUGUCAUCUGCAAAUUUGAUUACCAUCUCCUCAAUUCUUUCAUUCAAGACGCUGAACAACAACAGACCCAGGACCGAACCCUUCAGCACCCCACUUGUCACUUUCCCCCAGGAUGACGAGGAACCAUUAAUGAGUACUCUUUGGGUUUGGUCAGUCAAGCAGCUACAAAUCCACCUAACCGUUACAACGUUAAAUCCACAUUUUACCAGUUCCCUUGUGAUAAUAUCAUGGGGUACUUUGUCAAAAGCCUUACUGAAAUCAAGAUACACUAUGUGCACAACAUUUCCCUGAUCCACCAAGUUUGUAAUUCCAUUAAAAAAGAAAAGAAAUCAGAUUGGUCUGGCAUGACUUAUUUCUGGGGAACCCAUGCUGGGUCUUAGUAAUAACAGCAUCCUUUUCUCAAUGCCCACAGACCGACUGUUGAAUUAUCUGUUCUAGGACCUUCCCUGGUAUUGAUUCUCUUUCAGGGGAUUAUAAUACUGUAUCAAGAAAAUAAGCAGAAACUCCUUUAAAUGAAGACAUCUGGCAAGCCUAGUACUCCAGGCACAGCUGAUGAAAUCAGGAAGGACGCAAAUGCAGCUUUGCUACAAAAUAUAAAGCAUUUAAGUUUUAGGAAAUCCUCCUGUUGGAGAGGCAUGGACUAGAGAUGAUCCUUCUGGCUAUAAUCUGAUUAUAAUCUGAUUAGGGUGGCCAGUUAUGUUAUACAUUGUCCCCCAAAAAGAGGCAAAGCAAAAGGCAGAAAAUUUGGUGCAGGUUUGCACAAAAUUUGCACAUGCGGAUUUAUGUAUAUAGAUGCACAUUUAAAAAUAAUAGGAAUUCAAUACUUUUCACCCUAGUGGGGAAGACAGGCGGCAAGUCUUUUUUUUUUCCCCAGCCGAAACUCAUCAGAACUCACCAAAACUCAGUUCUGGCACCUCUCAGGUGGGUGCCAUUGCAAUUACAGUGGUACCUCGGGUUACAUACGCUUCAGGUUACAUACGCUUCAGGUUACAGACUCUGCUAACCCAGAAAUAGUACCUCGGGUUAAGAGCUUUGCUUCAGGAUGAGAACAGAAACUGUACUCCGGCGGCACGGCAGCAGCCGGAGGCCCCAUUAGCUAAAGUGGUGCUUCAGGUUAAGAACAGUUUCAGGUUAAGAACGGACCUCCGGAACGAAUUAAGUACUUAACCCGAGGUACCACUGUAUAAGAGUUCCAGCACCUCUUUUUCUAGAAAAAUAGCACUACCAGGUGGCCUGUAUUGUGUGUGCUCAUUCUGUUCUCCAGGUGCCAACUUUCGAAGGGCAACUUCAAGACCUUUGCUGCUCUCCCUUGUUAGAGUUCUUCAUCUUCAAACCAGACGGCCUUCAAAUACCUAUUUAUUUAUUUUGCGAAUUCAACAAAUAAAUAUAUAGAUAUUUGAAAGGGUUGCCUGGUUCAUGUCAGGUUUAAAGAUAAAGAACCCUAAGGAAGGAGAGCAGCAGAAACCUUGAAGUUGCCCGUAAACUGGACAGGAGUCUGAGGACUACUCUAUGAAAGCUCUUCAAACAGAGGGCAGAACACACGGACCCCCUAAAUAUGUUGCUAGGAUUGAAGGGGGGGGAGCAUAGCAGGCAUGUGGAAAGCAGUGUGUGUGAGAGAGAAGGAAAGGAUGGAUUUAUACAUUUUUAAUGUCAUGGUUUCUCAAGGCAACACAUCUAGGACAGGCCAUAUUCAGCGUGGCACUGACUGGUAAGAAUCAAGUAGUAUUGGCUGAAAACUGGACACAAAGUGGAGUCGCACACAUAUACGCCAUUGGCCAAAAUCUAUUCUGGUGUAAGCAGGUUCAACUCAAUUGACCUCAACUGGUGAAAGAUUUAACAUGUCACAUAAUGUGCGCCUUUGUCUUCCCCAGAAAAGUGAAUUUCAAUGAACGGGACCUAUGCGGGAGGAAUUAGCUGCCAAUGAGGAAGAAGGGAUCACCAGGAAAGAGUGAAGGCUGAAACCAUGGAAACCAUCAUCCGCUCUGACCCCCGCUCCCCCCCCUAGCCCCUUCCUUUCCCUCUGCCUUUCCCAGAACAGACACUGAACUCCAGUUUCUUUUGAUGAGGCAGACACUUGGGUCAAUGGAGCUGUGAUUAAAGUGGUCAGUGAGGUAGCCUAACAAGGGGCGAUUGGCGAAGGAUCCUCCUUACCCUUCCCCCACCUAGGCUGGCUGUAUUAUUGCCCAGUAAGGGAAUGUUCAAUAUCUCCCACAAGGUCACUUUAAAAAAACAACAAGAAACCUUGAGGGGAUGUUGGUGGCGAAAACGUAGCCCUCAGUUAAAAAAAUCUGUUUUACUGCAGCCCAUGCCAAAGGUUCACUUAUUGUUAGAGAUGAAAUAGGCCUUUUGAGGAAAAUCCAAUCAAAUUCAGAAAAUCUUAGAAAAAUAUCCUUUAAUAUACUUCAAAAUUCUCAAAAAAUAAAAUAAAAAUAAUAAUGUUUUGCCUCACC